UAAAUUAAUUGAUAAAAAACAAAAACAAUGUCCAUGUACCUUGAAAGAGAGUUUAGAAUACUUUGAUACAAAUGUAGAAUGUGGUUAGAAAUUUUUAAACAACACUAAAGACUAUAUGCCCCAGCAUAUUAACCAUUUACCUAAAAACUUAAUAUUUUGUAAGGGUUAACACAUAGAUUUUGAGAAAAAAUAAAACAAAAUAUGAAAAUAUUGUUUUAAAGCAUAGUUGUAUCAUAAAAUAACAUAUGAUGAUGGUGAGAGAGGUUUGAAACAUUUGUUGUCUCCGUUUCUCUAAAAUAACGAUUUUAUUGUGGUUUGUCCUUUGAUUUAGGGUGAAUAUGAAGUUUUACUAAAUUAAUUGAUAAAAAACAAGAAAAAUGUCCAUGUACCAUGAAAGAGAGUUAAUAA
This 408-nucleotide long non-coding RNA is filed under the name Brassica napus (rape). RNAcentral's name for it is "long non-coding RNA (BNAP_LNC003494)". The record is from RNAcentral. Lineage: Eukaryota; Viridiplantae; Streptophyta; Magnoliopsida; Brassicales; Brassicaceae.